GUCUUAUUUAAAUGAACUGCAUUUUACCCCUAUAAAUGCUUGACAUAUCUAGUUUUUAGCAAAGUUAACUAUUCUACCAGCUGAGAACAUAACUGAUACUGUUAUGUCUUUCCCCUUUUUGUCUUCAAUUUUAACAUAUUUUGUUAAUUUUUAAUCUCUAUAACUUUUCCACUCUAAAUGCUGCCUACAGUGUAGUUUAGAUAUCCCCGGAACCCCCUUUUUUUUGAAAAUCUUUGGAUCUGCAAUUGAAAUUCAUGACGCUACCACCGUAGUUGUAAUUAUUUGAUAUAAAUUGCAUCACAUGUACAAGAGAACGACACAUGAG
This 325-nucleotide long non-coding RNA is filed under the name Mytilus galloprovincialis (Mediterranean mussel). The record is from RNAcentral. Lineage: Eukaryota; Metazoa; Mollusca; Bivalvia; Mytilida; Mytilidae.